RNAcentral lists this ribosomal RNA (250 nucleotides) under Staphylococcus aureus. RNAcentral's name for it is "partial 16S ribosomal RNA". It matches the Rfam family "Bacterial small subunit ribosomal RNA", at positions 901 to 1149 of the family's 1533-position model. The record is from RNAcentral. Lineage: Bacteria; Bacillati; Bacillota; Bacilli; Caryophanales; Staphylococcaceae. RNAcentral also lists the same sequence under 1 other name.
UCAAAGGAAUUGACGGGGACCCGCACAAGCGGUGGAGCAUGUGGUUUAAUUCGAAGCAACGCGAAGAACCUUACCAAAUCUUGACAUCCUUUGACAACUCUAGAGAUAGAGCCUUCCCCUUCGGGGGGACAAAGUGACAGGUGGUGCAUGGUUGUCGUCAGCUCGUGUCGUGAGAUGUUGGGUUAAGUCCCGCAACGAGCGCAACCCUUAAGCUUAGUUGCCAUCAUUAAGUUGGGCACUCUAAGUUGAC